This 503-nucleotide ribosomal RNA is filed under the name Bdellovibrio sp. RNAcentral describes it as "bacterial SSU rRNA". It matches the Rfam family "Bacterial small subunit ribosomal RNA", at positions 212 to 720 of the family's 1533-position model. The record is from RNAcentral. Lineage: Bacteria; Pseudomonadati; Bdellovibrionota; Bdellovibrionia; Bdellovibrionales; Pseudobdellovibrionaceae.
UUUUCGCUCUAAGAUGAGUCCGCGUAAGAUUACGCUACUGGGGUGAUCGGUGAGGUAGCGGCUCACCAAGGCGACGAUCUUUAACUGGUCUGAGAGGAUGAUCAGUCACACUGGAACUGAGACACGGUCCAGACUCCUACGGGAGGCAGCAGUAGGGAAUAUUGCACAAUGGAGGAAACUCUGAUGCAGCGACGCCGCGUGAGUGAUGAAGGCCUUCGGGUCGUAAAGCUCUGUCGCAGGGGAAUAACACAAUGAAUGUACCCUGUAAGAAAGGAUCGGCUAACUUCGUGCCAGCAGCCGCGGUAAGACGAGGGAUCCUAGCGUUGUUCGGAAUUAUUGGGCGUAAAGCGGAUGUAGGUGGCUUUGUAAGUCAGAUGUGAAAGCCCAGGGCUCAACCCUGGAAGUGCAUUUGAUACUGCGAAGCUUGAGUGUCGGAGAGGUUACUAGAAUUGUUGGUGUAGUUUUGUUUUAGGUAGAUAUCAACAGGAAUACCGGAGGCGAAA